RNAcentral lists this ribosomal RNA (415 nucleotides) under uncultured soil bacterium. Its description in RNAcentral is "bacterial SSU rRNA". It matches the Rfam family "Bacterial small subunit ribosomal RNA", at positions 26 to 451 of the family's 1533-position model. The record is from RNAcentral.
AGAACGAACGCUGGCGGCAUGCCUAAUACAUGCAAGUCGAACGAACACUUCGGUGUUAGUGGCGCACGGGUGCGUAACGCGUGGGAAUCUGCCCUUGGGUUCGGAAUAACAGUUGGAAACGACUGCUAAUACCGGAUGAUAUCGAAAGAUCAAAGAUUUAUCGCCCAGGGAUGAGCCCGCGUAGGAUUAGCUAGUUGGUGAGGUAAAGGCUCACCAAGGCGACGAUCCUUAGCUGGUCUGAGAGGAUGAUCAGCCACACUGGGACUGAGACACGGCCCAGACCUCCUACGGGAGGCGAGCGAGUAGGGGAAUAUUGGACAAGUGGGCGACGAAGCCUAGGACUCCGAAGCAAAUCGGCCGCGUGAGUGAGUGAAGGUCCGUUAGGGUUAGUAAAGUCGUUACGUUUACCCGAGUA